Molecule: ribosomal RNA, 253 nt
Filed under: uncultured bacterium
Lineage: Bacteria
Description: partial 16S ribosomal RNA
Rfam family: Bacterial small subunit ribosomal RNA
Source: RNAcentral
UACAGAGGUCUCAAGCGUUGUUCGGAUUUAUUGGGCGUAAAGGGUGCGUAGGUGGUGCUGAAAGUUAGGUGUGAAAGUCCGAGGCUUAACCUCGAAAUUGCACCUAAUACUCCAGUGCUAGAGUCCCAUAGAGGAAUCUGGAAUUCACGGUGUAGCAGUGAAAUGCGUAGAUAUCGUGAAGAAGGCCUGUGGCGAAAGCAAGAUUCUGGGUGGCGACUGACACUGAGGCACGAAAGCCAGGGGAGCAAACGGG